AACAGGAUUAGAUACCCUGGUAGUCCACGCCGUAAACGAUGUCGACUUGGAGGUUGUGCCCUUGAGGCGUGGCUUCCGGAGCUAACGCGUUAAGUCGACCGCCUGGGGAGUACGGCCGCAAGGUUAAAACUCAAAUGAAUUGACGGGGGCCCGCACAAGCGGUGGAGCAUGUGGUUUAAUUCGAUACAACGCGAAGAACCUUACCUACCCUUGACAUCCAGAGAACUUUCCAGAGAUGGAUUGGUGCCUUCGGGAACUCUGAGACAGGUGCUGCAUGGCUGUCGUCAGCUCGUGUUGUGAAAUGUUGGGUUAAGUCCCGCAACGAGCGCAACCCUUAUCCUUUGUUGCCAGCGGUUAGGCCGGGAACUCAAAGGAGACUGCCAGUGAUAAACUGGAGGAAGGUGGGGAUGACGUCAAGUCAUCAUGGCCCUUACGAGUAGGGCUACACACGUGCUACAAUGGCGCAUACAAAGAGAAGCGACCUCGCGAGAGCAAGCGGACCUCAUAAAGUGCGUCGUAGUCCGGAUUGGAGUCUGCAACUCGACUCCAUGAAGUCGGAAUCGCUAGUAAUCGUGGAUCAGAACGCCACGGUGAAUACGUUCCCGGGCCUUGUACACACCGCCCGUCACACCAUGGGAGUGGGUUGCAAAAGAAGUAGGUAGCUUAACCUUCGGGAGGGCGCUUACCACUUUGUGAUUCAUGACUGGGGUGAAGUCGUAACAAGGUAACC
Molecule: ribosomal RNA, 730 nt
Filed under: uncultured bacterium
Lineage: Bacteria
Description: bacterial SSU rRNA
Rfam family: Bacterial small subunit ribosomal RNA
Source: RNAcentral